CAAAACCAGCUCGAGUUUCUCGGAGGGCAGCUCCUGUGGUAUGGUUGCCAAACAAACCGUGGAGCGGUUGACUUGCUAUGAUCCGCAGAGAACAGACCAGCUGUGAGAGGCGAGCAGACAAAGGCGAGAAAGAUCUCCUCAGCAAAGCUUCUCCGAGGGGCUAUGGUUUCCAUGUUCAUCAAGAAGCCUCAAAAUCCUAGAAAUUUGGAGGCUAUUUGCUUCACGGAUGCAGAAUGCCCAGGUGGAAACUGCUUUUUUCUAUGACCAGGCAUGGUAGUACACACCUGUAAUCCCGUCACUCAGGAAGCUGAGGCAGGAAGAUUGCUGCCUGGGAUAUCAAAACUAUCUUCAGGCAACAGUCUGGGAAAUUGGUCACCACGGCAGACCUCCUAUGGGAACCUUGAGAGAGCUUGUAAGAGACAGAGCACAAGACAGCAUCUGGUCUUCCUCGAUGCAGCAGAAGGAAACAGACAGAGGAACAAGGCAUAGCAUUCACCAUGCAUUUCACCUAGCACACAGGGGCUUACAGAACAGCUGCUAGUAAGGGAACAAGUGAACGAAUGGAGGAGAUCUCAGGACUUUGUCUCCAGUCUGCUCCAGGGGCCAGGAUGACUGUCCCAGCUUCCUGUGUCAUCCUGGAAAGAGGAAACAAUUUCUUUCCCUUUAAACCCCUUGAUUUUCAGUCAUGGCCCCAGUAACAUAAAACAGAUCAACAAGAGGAAAGUCACAAGUUUAUUGAAUACAAGUCAGUGGGCAAACUGCUUGCUGUUCAAGCAUGAGGGCCUGCAUCCCGAUCCCCAACAGCCAUGUCAAAGUUGGCCAUGAUGGCAUAUACCUGUAACUCCAUCCAGUGCUGGGGUUGGGGACAGGCAAAGACAGGGGAAUCUCUGUAGCCAGCCAGGCUAGAUGAGUGAAUGAGUACCAGGGUCAGUGAGAGACCCUGUCUCAAAAAAUAAGGUAGAUAGCAAAGAGAAAGAUACCAGAAACUGACAACCUGUAGCUUCCACAGAAGCAUGCAUAGGUGAGUGCAUACACAUACACACAUACACCACACACAUGCACAGACACACACAGACACAGACACACACACACACACCAUACAUGCACAGACACCACAUAGACAGACACGGACAUACACACAAUUAAAACAAAAGAAAAUGAAUACAUUUCCAUCCUCCAUUGGCUAGCUGUUUCGAUUUCAGCAAGUUACUGAAUUUAUUUGUCUCAGCUUCCUCAUUUAUCAAGUGAAGGGUAGAAAUCUCUGCUUUCCUGCACUUUUGUUAAGAUCCCACAUGACAGUGCAUGUGAAACACCUGUUUAGUCCACAUUAUUUUGUAUACAUGUUCACCUCCGUCCCUACCACCCCACCUCCACCCACAUUAUUUCUCCUUCUUGUUCUGGAGAAGUUGGGACAUUCAUGUAUGGCUUCAAAGAUAGCCAGAAGGAGGUUGAAAGAGCCUGUGGGAAGAGGACCAAAAUAGCCGGAACAGAAAGUCAA
Molecule: long non-coding RNA, 1498 nt
Organism: Peromyscus californicus insignis
Lineage: Eukaryota; Metazoa; Chordata; Mammalia; Rodentia; Cricetidae
Exons: 3
Source: RefSeq, a predicted model, not a curated record